Molecule: ribosomal RNA, 588 nt
Filed under: uncultured bacterium
Lineage: Bacteria
Description: partial 16S ribosomal RNA
Rfam family: Bacterial small subunit ribosomal RNA
Source: RNAcentral
UGGGGAAUAUUGGACAAUGGGCGCAAGCCUGAUCCAGCAAUGCCGCGUGUGUGAAGAAGGCCUUCGGGUCGUAAAGCACUUUUAUCAGGAGCGAAACGCUGUCGGCUAAUACCCGGCGGAACUGACGGUACCUGAGGAAUAAGCACCGGCUAACUUCGUGCCAGCAGCCGCGGUAAUACGAAGGGUGCAAGCGUUAAUCGGAAUUACUGGGCGUAAAGCGUGCGUAGGCGGUUUCUUAAGUCUGCUGUGAAAUCCCCGGGCUCAACCUGGGAAUGGCAGUGGAUACUGGGAGGCUAGAGUGUGUCAGAGGGUGGUGGAAUUCCCGGUGUAGCGGUGAAAUGCGUAGAGAUCGGGAGGAACAUCAGUGGCGAAGGCGGCCACCUGGGACAACACUGACGCUGAGGCACGAAAGCGUGGGGAGCAAACAGGAUUAGAUACCCUGGUAGUCCACGCCCUAAACGAUGCGAACUGGAUGUUGGUCUCAACUCGGAGAUCAGUGUCGAAGCUAACGCGUUAAGUUCGCCGCCUGGGGAGUACGGUCGCAAGACUGAAACUCAAAUGAAUUGACGGGGUCAUAGCUGUUUCCUG